UUCACAUUAAGGACAUUUCAUUGCAAGGAUGCAUAUUAUAAAAUGUUCUGUAUAGACAUGAGAUAUGUGGCUGUCAUUGCGGGAAGGUCGGAUAUAAGCAUUGGUUAUUGUAGCUACCUGCUUAAACUGUGUAGAGGUGCUUUUUUAGUGUAGUUGCUCACCUGCCACUAUUUAUGAUGUUAGUAUAAUGCUCAUUCAGCAGCAUAUGUCCUUUGCAACACAUUGACUCACGGAAGUGGAAACAAUUGCAAAACGAUCCGCGAUCUGGAACGCUCACCACGUACAGUGUGUUGUGGAAUGGAUCACUUAGCUAUCGGUGGAGGGUCAGAGUUGAUGGAUACAUAUGCUCAACAAUGCAUCAUGUACAAAUACUGCUCCUACUGUAAUGUCUUACUGAAAUCAUAUUCUCUCUCUUUCGAUUGAUGUUUCCUGUCUGAUGGAUUGCCACUCGAAAGUACCAGAGAGAGCACAAACACAACUGUUUAGGAUUGUAUAACAUGAUCCACAUAAAACAUUGGAGUGAGUGACUGGUUAAAAUGUUUCUAUUGACCCCUAAAACUGACGCCCCUCAAUGGUAAUUAGAGUUUAUAUGACUACUUGUUGACGCGACAUUGUGGAGUUAAUUUGGGAGGGAACUGUACAUACAAAAGUGUAAAGGACAACAGUUGCAGGAAGAAAUACACGAGGGGAUGUUUAUUUAUGUUGGCUAGUGUUUCUUUCUUGGUUCUUGUGCCAUGGGCUUUUGCCAGUCAUACUCAGUACUAGCUUAACAGUAGCUUUACAGCAUCUACGUUGUCUUUUUUUCCAGCUGAGUCUAUUGUCAAUUGAUUAUUUAUUUAUUCUUCUGAAAUGGCAGCACAGAGACUGAAGGGAAGACCUUUAUUUUUAAAAUACAGCAUUUAUUGAAAUGUCAAUAGAUUUCAGAAACAUAUCUAAUAACUUACUCUCAUUUUGAUUUGAUUCGAUUGAUUAAUUGGCCAUUAUAAUUAUUGAAAGGCUUUGUAAAGAGGAUCAUGUAAGAAGUAUGUCAUAAUUCAUCUUUCAAAUUAAAAGAUAGUGAUUAAAUUAAACGAUAGGGAUAAUGAUAGAGCUUUUUUUCCCUCCUGAUUUGAUGUUUAUCUUGAAUGUGUAAGGCAUUGAGCUAACAGGUAGACAUGUUUAACAGAAUUGGGGAAUUAUGGGUAAUUCUUUUGAUGGUCUACCUUAAUUGGUCUUCUGUGAAGAGUGAUUGUAUAUUCUGCCCAUGUGAAAUGCAAAUAAAGAGUUAUGACAAAAAAAACAGUGCUUCUGAAACAGCAGACUCACCAUUCUGUUUUCAAUUGACCUAAAUACGUAAUAGACAAAUACAAUAUGUAUAAUACGAUUUUUCAUGACCUCAUGAGUCUUAAAAUGCCAACCUCUUUUGCUGGGGAGUUAAGGCUUGUCUGUAAGUGAGACGUGGGCCUUGUUAAGUCAACCUCACACUGCGAGAGAGAGAUGGAGGAAGGGAGCCAGGGAGAGAGGGAUGACCGACACAGCCGUGCCCCACGUUUAAAUGAGAGACCCAGGGUGACGGAGGCUGUGAAAUAUCAUGUCUCGGAGCCUAGCUUGACAUUUCAGUGACCUCCAGCGGCUAGGGUUUUUCUUCUUAUUCUCCACCAGAGAAUUUGGCAGUACAGCCAAAGGCCUCACAACCGCAGACCAUGUGUAACCACGCCAGCCCAGGACCCCCACAUCUGGCUUCUUCACCUGCAGGAUCAUCUGAGACCAGCCACCUGGACAGCUGAUGAAACAGAGGAAUAUUUAUGUCUGUAAUAAAGCCCUUUUGUGCAAAAAACUCAUUCUGAUUGGCUGAGCCUGGCUCCCCAGUGGGCACCCCUGCCCAGUCAUGUGAAAUCCAUAAAUUAGGGCCUAAUGAAUUUAUUUAAAUUCACUGAUUUCCUUAUAUGAACAGUAACUCAGUAAAAUCGCUGCAAUUGUUCCGUUUAUAUUCUUGGUCAAUAUAUACAGUACCAGUCAUUGUAGAAUAAGACAUCAAAACUAUAAAAUAACACAUAUGGAAUCAUGUAGUAACCAAAGGUGUUAAACAAAUCAAAAUAUAUUUCAAUUUUGAGAUUCUUCAUUCGUAGCCACCGUUUGCCUUGAUGACAGCGUUCUACACUCUUGGCUUUCUCUUAACCAGCUUCAUGAGGAAUGCAUUUCCAACCGUCUUGAAGGAGUUGAGCACUUGUUGGCUGCUUUUCCUUCACUCUGCGGUCCAACUAAAUCCAAACCAUCUCAAUUGGGUUGAGGUUGGGUGAUUGUGGAGGCCAGGUCAUCUGAUGCAGUUCUCCAUCUCUCCCCUGCAUGGUCAAAUAGCCCUUACACACUCUGGAGGUGUGUUUUGGAUCAUUGUCCUGCAGAAAAACAAAUUAUAGUCCC
Molecule: long non-coding RNA, 2400 nt
Organism: Oncorhynchus tshawytscha (Chinook salmon)
Lineage: Eukaryota; Metazoa; Chordata; Actinopteri; Salmoniformes; Salmonidae
Source: Ensembl